AUUGAACGCUGGCGGCAGGCUUAACACAUGCAAGUCGAGCGGAAACGAUACUAGCUUGCUAGUAGGCGUCGAGCGGCGGACGGGUGAGUAAUACUUAGGAAUCUACCUAGUAGUGGGGGAUAGCACGGGGAAACUCGUAUUAAUACCGCAUACGACCUACGGGAGAAAGGGGGCAACUUGUUGCUCUCGCUAUUAGAUGAGCCUAAGUCGGAUUAGCUAGAUGGUGGGGUAAAGGCUUACCAUGGCGACGAUCUGUAGCUGGUCUGAGAGGAUGAUCAGCCACACCGGGACUGAGACACGGCCCGGACUCCUACGGGAGGCAGCAGUGGGGAAUAUUGGACAAUGGGGGCAACCCUGAUCCAGCCAUGCCGCGUGUGUGAAGAAGGCCUUUUGGUUGUAAAGCACUUUAAGCAGUGAAGAAGACCAUAUGGUUAAUACCCAUAUGCGAUGACAUUAGCUGCAGAAUAAGCACCGGCUAACUCUGUGCCAGCAGCCGCGGUAAUACAGAGGGUGCAAGCGUUAAUCGGAAUUACUGGGCGUAAAGGGAGCGUAGGUGGCUCGAUAAGUCAGAUGUGAAAUCCCCGGGCUCAACCUGGGAACUGCAUCUGAAACUGUCGUGCUAGAGUAUGUGAGAGGAAGGUAGAAUUCCAGGUGUAGCGGUGAAAUGCGUAGAGAUCUGGAGGAAUACCGAUGGCGAAGGCAGCCUUCUGGCAUAAUACCGACACUGAGGCUCGAAAGCGUGGGUAGCAAACAGG
This 755-nucleotide ribosomal RNA is filed under the name uncultured bacterium. RNAcentral describes it as "bacterial SSU rRNA". It matches the Rfam family "Bacterial small subunit ribosomal RNA", at positions 28 to 776 of the family's 1533-position model. The record is from RNAcentral.